This is a non-coding RNA of Acanthosepion pharaonis, 104 nucleotides long. Lineage: Eukaryota; Metazoa; Mollusca; Cephalopoda; Sepiida; Sepiidae. The record is from the annotation of a GenBank genome assembly.
CCAUAUCAGGUUGAAGCACAGGUUCUCAUACGAUCACCGAAGCUUAUGCAACACCGAGCCUGGCCAGUACAAAGGUGGGUGGCCACUUGGGAAUACCAGGUGCC